CCCAUUAGCUAGUUGGCGAGAUAAUAGCUCACCAAGGCAAGGUGGGUAGCCGAGUUGAGAGUUUGAUCGCCCACACUGAAACUGAGAUACGGUCCAGACACCUACGGGUGGCAGCAGUAGGGAAUAUUGCGCAAGGAGCGAAAGCUUGACGCAGCCAUGCCGCGUGAGUGAAGAAGGCUUUGGGGUCGUAAAGCUCUUUUCUGAGGGAAGAAUGGUCGAUGCAGAAAAAGGCAUCGAAUUGACGGUACCUCAGGAAUAAGGAACGGCUAACUCCGUGCCAGCAGCCGCGGUAAUACGGAGGUUCCAAGCGUUGUUCGGAAUUACUGGGCGUAAAGGGAGCGCAGGUGGGCGGUCCAGUCCAAAGUGGAAGCCCGGGGCUUAACCCCGGAAGUGCUUUGGAUACUAGCCGUCUUGAGUACGCGAGAGGAAGGCGGAAUUCAGGGUGUAGCGGUGAAAUGCAUAGAUAUCCUGAGGAACACCGGUGGCGAAAGCGGCCUUCUGGCGCGAAACUGACACUGAGGCUCGAAAGCGUGGGGAGCAAACGGGAUUAGAUACCCCGGUAGUCCACGCCGUAAACGUUCUGCACUAGGUGUGGGAGGUAUCGACCCCUUCCGUGCCGCAGCUAACGCAUUAA
This 634-nucleotide ribosomal RNA is filed under the name uncultured bacterium. RNAcentral's name for it is "bacterial SSU rRNA". It matches the Rfam family "Bacterial small subunit ribosomal RNA", at positions 237 to 863 of the family's 1533-position model. The record is from RNAcentral.